GCGGGUGUGGCGGAAUCCGGUAGACGCACCAGAUUUAGGAUCUGGCGCCGCAAGGCAUGGGGGUUCAAAUCCCUUCACCCGCACCA
This 86-nucleotide transfer RNA is filed under the name Paracoccaceae bacterium. Its description in RNAcentral is "Rhodobacteraceae bacterium tRNA-Leu". It matches the Rfam family "tRNA". From Rfam's summary of the family: Transfer RNA (tRNA) molecules are approximately 80 nucleotides in length. Their secondary structure includes four short double-helical elements and three loops (D, anti-codon, and T loops). Lineage: Bacteria; Pseudomonadati; Pseudomonadota; Alphaproteobacteria; Rhodobacterales; Paracoccaceae. The record is from RNAcentral.